Long non-coding RNA from Pygocentrus nattereri (red-bellied piranha), 1549 nucleotides. Lineage: Eukaryota; Metazoa; Chordata; Actinopteri; Characiformes; Serrasalmidae. The record is from Ensembl.
GCUCUGGAUAAGAGCAUCUGCUAAAUGCUGUAAAUGUAAAUGUACCAUAUAGGCUGACCAUAAGGCCAGUAUAAAGACAGUUCAUGUCCUGUGUUUUCAGUGUGCAAAGUUAUUUGUUUUCUUGAUACAUAAUAUUUUAAGACAAAAAAGACAGGCCUUACUCAUAAAGAAAAGAUAAGCUAUUUCCCUGUCUGUCAUAUGUUUGUUUCUGCAUUAGGUUACCUGUAUGCACUGAUCAGCCAUAAAAUUAUGACCACCUCCUUCUUUUUAUGCUCAUUGUCCAUUUUAUCAGCUCCACUUACUAUAUAGGAGCACUUUGUAGUUCUACAGUUGCAGACUGUAGUCCAUCUGUUUCUCUGCGUACUUUGUUAGACCCCUUUUACCCUGUUCUUCAGUGGUCAGGACCCCCAUGGACCAGAGCAGGUACUAUUUGGGUGAUGGAUCAUUCUCAGUAAUGCAGUAACACUGAUGUGGUGGUGGUGUGUUGCGCUGGUCUGAGUGGAUCAGGCACAGCAGUGCUGCUGAAGUUUGUACACAUGUCCCAGUAAUGAUGUGUAAUUGAUAAACUCCAGAAUCUUCUCUGCUGAUGUUUGUGAUGGUUAAACAUCCACUGGUUCUGUUCAGCUGCUGUAAUAGUCUGUAAUAGUCUCUCCUCUAAUGAUCAGGCUGUUCACUAUCUUUAUAUCUGCAUUCUCAGAUCUAUAGAACCACAGUAUGUGAGCAUCACUCUGAGCUCUAGUUAAUCCAGUAUGGAUGGUUACAGUGUUUCCCUCCAGCUCCUGCAGUCUGACAACCUCUUCUCCAGCUGUGAGCACCAGACCUGAGACACAAGAGGCCCGGGGGGGUGGCCCGGGUUAUUUCCCCCCCUUCUCGGGUAUCGCCCUCCGGCCUUCCUCCGCUGCCAGUGCACCUCCAGGCUCCAUCCAGGACAUCCUUGGAAGGUGACUUCAACUGACAACGGCAACUGUGACGUGGAGUUCCUGAUCGGGAUUUGAACCGAUAACCCCCCCACCACGGGGCAUGGCAUCUACCAGCGAGCCACAGGAUCUCACAAGGCUUUCUUAUUUUUUUUCGACAUUUAUCUCUCAGAUUUCCAACUUGCUGUGUGAAAAGCAGUAGCUUGAGCAAGAUUUGAACCCACAACCUUUUGAGUGCAACUACAUUGCUUUUCUUAGUGAGCCACCGUGGCUCAGGUCCAGCACCUUUUUUUUUGGACAUUUGAUUGAUGAUAAUAAGGAUGCCUGAACAUGAGUUUAAUAGUGAAGAUAUGUGCAUAAGCUACUAUGGCUUGUUUACAGUGAUCUUUUUUGUUUGGAUAUUUGACUUUGAGAUUCCCAGGCUUUCUACUGUUUCUACUGAUGCUUCUAAGACUCUUAGACCAGGAUCAUUAGAGGAAGAGGAAGACUGACUGUUCAGACCUGAAUAAACGGCAGUCUAAAUAAUACAGUCCUGAAAGCUUCCUGUUUUCUUCCUAAUAAUGCAUGAUUGUGCAUUCAAACAAUGGAAAGUGAAAUGGGUGAAAAGGGCUUAUGUCUCAAUUUAAUAAUCG